UACAGAGGGUGCAAGCGUUGUCCGGAAUCACUGGGCGUAAAGGGCGCGUAGGCGGCCUGAUAAGUCGGGGGUGAAAUUCUGCGGCUUAACCGCAGGACGGCCUUCGAGACUGUCGGGCUUGAGCACGGUAGAGGCAGGUGGAAUUCCCGGUGUAGCGGUGGAAUGCGUAGAGAUCGGGAGGAACAUCGGUGGCGAAGGCGGCCGACUGGGCCGACCCUGACGCUGAGGCGCGAAGGCGUGGGGAGCGAACGGG
RNAcentral lists this ribosomal RNA (253 nucleotides) under uncultured bacterium. Its description in RNAcentral is "partial 16S ribosomal RNA". It matches the Rfam family "Bacterial small subunit ribosomal RNA", at positions 524 to 776 of the family's 1533-position model. The record is from RNAcentral.